This 432-nucleotide ribosomal RNA is filed under the name Pagrus major (red seabream). RNAcentral's name for it is "partial 16S ribosomal RNA". It matches the Rfam family "Bacterial large subunit ribosomal RNA", at positions 1997 to 2579 of the family's 2925-position model. Lineage: Eukaryota; Metazoa; Chordata; Actinopteri; Spariformes; Sparidae. The record is from RNAcentral.
UGGCAUCACGAGGGCUUAACUGUCUCCCCUCCCCANUCAAUGAAAUUGAUCUCCCCGUGCAGAAGCGGGGAUAAUACCAUAAGACGAGAAGACCCUAUGGAGCUUUAGACGUCAGAGCAGCCCAUGUAAAGCACCCCUUAACAAAGGAAAAAACCAAAUGAAGCCUGCCCUAAUGUCUUUGGUUGGGGCGACCGCGGGGAAAUACAAAACCCCCAUGUGGAGUAGGAAUACACAUUCCUAAACCCAAGAGCUCCCGCUCUAAUGAACAGAAAUUCUGACCAAUAAGAUCCGGCACACGCCGAUCAACGGACCGAGUUACCCUAGGGAUAACAGCGCAAUCCCCUUAAAGAGCCCUUAUCGACAAGGGGGUUUACGACCUCGAUGUUGGAUCAGGACAUCCUAAUGGUGCAGCCGCUAUUAAGGGUUCGUUUG